RNAcentral lists this non-coding RNA (21 nucleotides) under Caenorhabditis elegans. Lineage: Eukaryota; Metazoa; Nematoda; Chromadorea; Rhabditida; Rhabditidae. The record is from RNAcentral.
UUAUCAAGGUAUUGAAAUGGC